RNAcentral lists this long non-coding RNA (1112 nucleotides) under Homo sapiens (human). RNAcentral's name for it is "long intergenic non-protein coding RNA 1287". The record is from RNAcentral. Lineage: Eukaryota; Metazoa; Chordata; Mammalia; Primates; Hominidae.
GCGACUUCCCUGGCCCUCCCCCUGCGGACCAGUGAACCUCGCCCGAGGGCUCAAUAAAGAAGAUUUUUGCCCUCUUUUUCUCACCUCUCAGCCUUAUUGAUCCAUGGUGCCCUUCCAUUGCCUUUCAUUGGUGCCGAAACCCGGGAGGGGACACCUCCUAAGCCCCCCCAGAGGCUCAGGGGGACUCCCCUCCUGGUCGGAUCAGUCCUCUCCCUCAGUCAGGUCAGGCUUCUCCUCCACGGCCAUCUGUCCAUUUCGUCCGGUUACUUGCUGCCAGGUCGCAGUUGCUGCAGCUACUCCAGUCCAAUUCGGCCGACGCUAGAUCAACUGAGAUGCAAAACCCAUGUUCACAUCAUGAGUGAGUCUUCUAACUCGGACAAUGCAAUCAACAAAUUCUAAGACCAAAUUCCGGUGGCACUGGCUCCAAAGGCAUCAUGCCAGCAGGGACCAGAUGUGCACCUAAUCAAGAGAUGGCAUCCAAUCAGAUGGGGGUGUGACCCUUUACUAUCGUCCUCACCACAGGACUCAUGGUCUAUCAAAGAGCAAGACCUCACCAGCUCAACACAGCCACCUCCAUACACAUCUUACUGUCACUUGUGAUCAGCACCAAAGGAAGUGUCCACCUGAAGGACUCUCCCUUGAGGACUGUCAGGAUCCACCCAAGAGGUGCUCUUUGUCCACACCACGUUCCUUUUACUGGUUCGUUAUCCCAUUUUCUGUUGAUGUUAAAUGUCACUCUGUUUGAUGUGAAAACUCUCAUCUAUAACAUUUAUAGAUUGAUUAAGUAUACUAUCAUGCAUGGUUUGCAAUGUUGACUGGCCUGUGCAGUGGCUUGAGCCUGCAUGCCACAGUGGCUCUGACUCCUGAGUGCAUGGGAGGCCUAAAGACAACUGCCUCCUCAGGAACCCCACAGAGCCCGUGGUUUUUAUUAUUGAAAUAGCAUUGGUAAAGUCUGACCCUGUGGAGAGAGACAAACGUGUGUGGAUUUGGCUAUGCCUGGCCUUGUGCUGCUCACGACAUAACUUACCCACCAUUUUCAGCACUUUCUUUGUUCUACUUUGAGUUACAAAUAGAGACACAUAAAUAAAUAUGAUCUGUCCUUUUUUUCUCAA